Cydia strobilella is the source of this 487-nucleotide long non-coding RNA. RefSeq lists it as uncharacterized. Lineage: Eukaryota; Metazoa; Arthropoda; Insecta; Lepidoptera; Tortricidae. The transcript has 3 exons. The record is from RefSeq and is a predicted model, not a curated record.
CGGCCAAGUGCGAGUCGGACUCGCCCACCGAGGUGAAAGGUAAAUUUAUGACGUAUUAAAAAAAAUACUUACUAGAUCUCGUUCAAACCAAUUUUCGGUGGAAGUUUGCAUGGUUAAUGUAAGUACAUCAUAUAUUUUUUCAGUUUUAUCAUUCUCUUAUUUUAGAAGUUACGGGGGGGGGGGGGGGGGACGACACACAUUUUACCACUUUAGAAGUGUCUCUCGCGCAAAUUAUUCAGUUUAGAAAAAAAUUAUAUUAGAAACCUCCAUAUCAUUUUUGAAGACCUAUCCAUAGAUACCCCACACGUAUGGGUUUGAUGAAAAAAAAUUUUUUUGAUUUCAGUUCUAAGUAAGUAUGGGGAACCCCAAAAUUUAUUGUUUUUUUUCUAUUUUUGUGUGAAAAUCUUAAUGCGGUUCACAGAAUACAUCUACUUACCAAGUUUCAACAGUAUAGUUCUUAUAGUUUCGGAAAAAAGUGGCUGUAACA